AUCGAUGAAGAACGCAGCGAAAUGCGAUAAGUAAUGUGAAUUGCAGAAUUCAGUGAAUCAUCGAAUCUUUGAACGCACAUUGCGCCCCUUGGUAUUCCGAGGGGCAUGCCUAUUCGAGCGUCAUUAUCACCCCUCAAGCUCAGCUUGGUGUUGAGGCCUGCUGUAAAGGCAGCCUCUAAAAUCAGUGGCAGUGCUGUCAGGCUCUAAGCGUAGUAAUUUUCAUCGCUAUAGACACCUGGUGGAUACUCGCCAGAACCCCCCCAUUUUUUAAUGAUUGACCUCGGAUUAGGUAGGGAUACCCGCUGAACUUAAGCAUAUCAAUAAGCGGAGGAAAAGAAACCAACAGGGAUUGCCUCAGUAACGGCGAGUGAAGCGGCAAAAGCUCAAAUUUGAAAUCUGGCUCUUUUAGGGUCCGAGUUGUAAUUUGUAGAAGAUGUUUCGGGUGUGGCUCCGGUUUAAGUUCUUUGGAAUAUUACAUCAUAGAGGGUGAGAAUCCCGUAUGUGACCGGCAGCCUUCGCCUAUGUGAAACUCUUUCGACGAGUCGAGUUGUUUGGGAAUGCAGCUCAAAAUGGGAGGUAUAUUUCUUCUAAAGCUAAAUAUUGGCCAGAGACCGAUAGCGCACAAGUAGAGUGAUCGAAAGAUGAAAAGCACUUUGAAAAGAGGGUUAAAUAGCACGUGAAAUUGUUGAAAGGGAAGGACUUAUGACCAGACUUUUUCCUAGUGAAUCAUCCGGUGUUCUCACCGGUGCACUUCGCUUGGUUUAGGCCAGCAUCGGUUUCCGUAGGGGGAUAAAAGCUUUAGGAAUGUGGCUCCUCCGGGAGUGUUAUAGCCUUUUGUAUAAUACCCUUCUGGGGACCGAGGUACGCGCUUCUGCAAGGAUGCUGGCGUAAUGGUCAUCAGUCACCCGUCUUGAAACACG
This 920-nucleotide ribosomal RNA is filed under the name uncultured Ascomycota. Its description in RNAcentral is "eukaryotic LSU rRNA". The stretch from base 276 to 920 matches the Rfam family "Eukaryotic large subunit ribosomal RNA", at positions 1 to 663 of the family's 3401-position model. Lineage: Eukaryota; Fungi; Ascomycota. The record is from RNAcentral.